AAACCCAGCCUGUUUGGGGCACUGCAGCAUUCCCUGGCCCCAGGGGCAUCUGCACACAGCCACUCCUGUUGGCUUUGCUGCUCCCUGAACACCAAAGCCUUUGUCAGGGAGCUCUGUGAAGACCCAGGAGAGGCAGCAGCCAUGAAGAUCCUGUUCCUGAUCUUCCCCCUGAUUUUCCUGUUGGUCCAGGGUGCUGCAGGGAAUGCAGCUCGAUGCAGGCGACGAGGGGGAUACUGCAGCUUUGAUGGCUGCAUCUCCCAGACAAAACCUAUUGGAAGAUGUUCAUCAGUCAGUCUGUGCUG
Serinus canaria (Common canary) is the source of this 302-nucleotide long non-coding RNA. RefSeq lists it as uncharacterized. The transcript is spliced from 3 exons. NCBI's taxonomy places the organism in Eukaryota, Metazoa, Chordata, Aves, Passeriformes, Fringillidae. The record is from RefSeq and is a predicted model, not a curated record.